This 69-nucleotide transfer RNA is filed under the name Camelus bactrianus (Bactrian camel). It matches the Rfam family "tRNA". From Rfam's summary of the family: Transfer RNA (tRNA) molecules are approximately 80 nucleotides in length. Their secondary structure includes four short double-helical elements and three loops (D, anti-codon, and T loops). Lineage: Eukaryota; Metazoa; Chordata; Mammalia; Artiodactyla; Camelidae. RNAcentral also lists the same sequence under 2 other names. The record is from Rfam by way of RNAcentral.
GGAGACAGCUCAAUGGUAGAGUGCAUGCUUAGCAUGCACAAGUCCUGGGUUCAAUCCCCAGUGCCUCCA